GUAAUGCCUAGGAAUCUGCCUAGUGGUGGGGGAUAACGUUCGGAAACGGACGCUAAUACCGCAUACGUCCUACGGGAGAAAGCGGGGGACCUUCGGGCCUCGCGCCAUUAGAUGAGCCUAGGUCGGAUUAGCUAGUUGGUGAGGUAAUGGCUCACCAGGGCGACGAUCCGUAACUGGUCUGAGAGGAUGAUCAGUCACACUGGAACUGAGACACGGUCCAGACUCCUACGGGAGGCAGCAGUGGGGAAUAUUGGACAAUGGGCGAAAGCCUGAUCCAGCCAUGCCGCGUGUGUGAAGAAGGUCUUCGGAUUGUAAAGCACUUUAAGUUGGGAGGAAGAGUAGUAACUUAAUACGUUGCUACUUUGACGUUACCGACAGAAUAAGCACCGGCUAACUUCGUGCCAGCAGCCGCGGUAAUACGAAGGGUGCAAGCGUUAAUCGGAAUUACUGGGCGUAAAGCGCGCGUAGGUGGUUCAGUAAGUUGGAAGUGAAAUCCCCGGGCUCAACCUGGGAACUGCUUUCAAAACUGCUGAGCUAGAGUACGGUAGAGGGUGGUGGAAUUUCCUGUGUAGCGGUGAAAUGCGUAGAUAUAGGAAGGAACACCAGUGGCGAAGGCGACCACCUGGACUGAUACUGACACUGAGGUG
RNAcentral lists this ribosomal RNA (647 nucleotides) under uncultured bacterium. RNAcentral describes it as "bacterial SSU rRNA". It matches the Rfam family "Bacterial small subunit ribosomal RNA", at positions 110 to 753 of the family's 1533-position model. The record is from RNAcentral.